Molecule: transfer RNA, 87 nt
Filed under: Coriobacteriales bacterium
Lineage: Bacteria; Bacillati; Actinomycetota; Coriobacteriia; Coriobacteriales
Description: tRNA-Leu
Rfam family: tRNA
About the family: Transfer RNA (tRNA) molecules are approximately 80 nucleotides in length. Their secondary structure includes four short double-helical elements and three loops (D, anti-codon, and T loops).
Source: RNAcentral
GCGGACGUGGCGGAAUUGGCAGACGCGCCAGGUUUAGGUCCUGGUGGGGGCAACCCCGUGAAGGUUCGAGUCCUUUCGUCCGCACCA